This 474-nucleotide ribosomal RNA is filed under the name Babesia ovis. RNAcentral's name for it is "SSU rRNA". It matches the Rfam family "Eukaryotic small subunit ribosomal RNA", at positions 497 to 1045 of the family's 1831-position model. The record is from RNAcentral. Lineage: Eukaryota; Apicomplexa; Aconoidasida; Piroplasmida; Babesiidae.
UUUGUCUUGUAAUUGGAAUGAUGGCGACCCAAACCCUCGCCAGAGUACCAAUUGGAGGGCAAGUCUGGUGCCAGCAGCCGCGGUAAUUCCAGCUCCAAUAGCGUAUAUUAAACUUGUUGCAGUUAAAAAGCUCGUAGUUGAACUUCGGCCUUGCGCGUCCUGCGGGUCUGCGCGCGGCCUUUGCGUUACUUUGAGAAAAUUAGAGUGUUUCAAGCAGGCUUUCGCCGUGAAUACUUGAGCAUGGAAUAACUGGGCAGGACCUUGGUUCUUCUUUGUUGGUUUUGUACCUGGGUAAUGGUUAAUAGGAACGGUUGGGGGCAUUCGUAUUUAACUGUCAGAGGUGAAAUUCUUAGAUUUGUUAAAGACGGACCACUGCGAAAGCAUUUGCCAAGGACGUUUCCAUUAAUCAAGAACGAAAGUUAGGGGAUCGAAGACGAUCAGAUACCGUCGUAGUCUACCCAUAUAAACUAAAAA